Molecule: small nucleolar RNA, 86 nt
Filed under: Solanum lycopersicum (tomato)
Lineage: Eukaryota; Viridiplantae; Streptophyta; Magnoliopsida; Solanales; Solanaceae
Description: Small nucleolar RNA U54
Rfam family: Small nucleolar RNA U54
About the family: U54 is a C/D box small nucleolar RNA, which acts as a methylation guide for 18S ribosomal RNA in plants.
Source: Rfam by way of RNAcentral
AGCUCAAUGAUUGUAUGCCUUUUGGCAAUAUACGCUAUACCGAUCUAAAACAUGAGUAUGAUAAUUUUUUUUCUAGUAUGAGAGCU